UUAGAUAAAGAAGAUUAAAAAUUUAAAGUGAAAAACUUUAAAAACAGAAGUACAGAAAGGUAAAAAAAAAGAGAGAAGAUGUAGAAAGAUAAAAAAGAUAUAGGAAGAUUAAAAAGAUGUAGAAAGACAAGAAUUUUAAACCCACAAAAUAGGAAACAAGAAAACUAGGAGAGAAAAUAAGCAACUAAGGGUAAAAAUACAAACCUUAGGAAAAAAAAAAAAAAAAACUAGAAGAUAGAAACAAGAUAAAAAAUGGUUGAAAAUGUCAAGUAAGGUAUUACACAGAUAGAAAAUGCAAAAAGCUAAGACAACUAUUAGAUACAGACAUACUUAUUAAAGCAAAAAGAGGGAAUUGGAAAGGGGUAUAUAUCCCCCAUAGAUAAACUUAAAAUAACCCUUUUUACUCUAAACUUUUAAAAUUUGGAUUCAUAAGGACUUAGUGCUGCGGAAAGACAUAUGUAUCCAAAAAAUGUACAUAAGCCUAAAGUACUUUGGAAAGAUAUUCUAACAGGACAAUGGAAAGGUCCUGACCCAGUGAUUGUCUGGAGUCGGGGGUCUGUUUGUGUUUUUCCACAGGGAGAACAGCAGCCCAUUUGGAUUCCAGAGAGAUUAACUAAAACAGUUUCUACAGAUCGAAAAGAAGAUGAUUUGACUCAAAUCCAUAACAGCUGAUAUCCAGAACUCCAGCUUGGCCAUUCUUACAUCUGCGACAGUGAUUAACCAGGAUGCUUUUUUCAAUAGCUAUUUUAUUAUUGCAUUUUUCCACAUCAUAAGGUUCUAUUUUUAUUUUUUGAGCUCAUACAAACCUAGGUUAAUGUUUUUCUGAUCAGUUUUAUUUUUUGACUGUGGAGUUUUUAAACAUUGCAAUGGAGAUUUCACCCAGGAUAAUGUCUCUUUAGCAUCAUUGCCAGAAUUCCUAUCUCCAUCUCAGUGCUGGUGAAGAACUCAACAAGUAAUGCUCAAUCAAAGAGUCAACUUACUUUGGGAGGAAACGGAUUUUGGGAGGAAAUGGACAUAUUGAUAGAUUCCUCUGCUUUGAACUGCUUGCAGAACUUGCCUGGACUAUGUAACUAUCGUUUGAUGGUGUCACUAGUGAUGCAAUUUUUAUUUCCUUGCCAGCGCACCCCAUGUUAAUUGUGGUAGUGCUGACAUAUCUUUGCUGAUGGUGUCACCAGUGAUGCAAUUUUUCCCAAGGAGCCGUCAAUUGGCUUGGUGUCGUGGCAUUUCUGUAUCCUCCUCCCUUCUGCUAGUGAUGGUCUAAAAUUUGGGGGCCAAUGGCUUAUGCUGGACCGGUAGUCAGUGACGGGUAUGAUCCAAUUGCAGUGGUAUCAACCUAAGACAGGAGGCUGACGCCUAAAGGUCAGUUUUCCGAUGACGGGUAAGAACCAUAUGUUGAAUUGGACAACCUACCAGGCACGGUCCAUAAGCCACAUUAACCUCACUCCCCCACUGGCACCAAGGCCAAAUUUGGGGGCCAACAGAGGUGAGGCAAAGAACCUCACCCCCCCACUGGUGCAUAGACCUAUCCACAAGUAUGGCUGUAUGCUGGACCGGUAGUCAGUGACGGGUAUGAUUCAAUUGCAGUGGUAUCAACCUAAGACAGGAGGCUGACGCCUAAAGGUCAGUUUUCCGAUGACGGGUAAGAACCAUAUGUUGAAUUGGACAACCUACCAGGCACGGUCCUUAAGCCACAUUGCUUGUUGUUUAAUUAAUCAGAAGGGGGGAGAUGCUGGGAGCCAUUAGCCAAGUAGGUAUGACAAUUUCCUUGCCAGCGUACCCCAUGUUGCUGACAUGUUGCAGUGACAUUGAAUGUACUUAACCUUGCUCAAGGACCAAGGCAGAUUAGGGUGUUCCCGGUUUUAAGAUAAUCUUGUUUAGGGCGUUCCCAGUUUAGGUUCCAGGUUUAAGGUUUAAGAUUAUUCCUGCUGGGAAUAGGGCGUAUCCUGCUGCCUGAGUUCCCCUUGAGUUCUCACGGGAUUCAGACAGUAUAUUUUGGAGAUAGAAGCCCAGUGGAGGUGGAUUUGGGCAGAGAACGUGGAUUUGGGAAGAGAACGUGGAUUUCCCCAGAACGUGAUUGUAGACGGCUGGUGUGAGUUCGGGAAUAAAGAGUUGCUGUUUGAAUCUACAA
Long non-coding RNA from Marmota monax (woodchuck), 2128 nucleotides. RefSeq lists it as uncharacterized. The record is from RefSeq and is a predicted model, not a curated record. NCBI's taxonomy places the organism in Eukaryota, Metazoa, Chordata, Mammalia, Rodentia, Sciuridae. The transcript is spliced from 2 exons.